GGCGUGCUUAACACAUGCAAGUCGAACGAUGAACCACUUCGGUGGGGAUUAGUGGCGAACGGGUGAGUAACACGUGGGCAAUCUGCCCUUCACUCCGGGACAAGCCCUGGAAACGGGGUCUAAUACCGGAUAACACUUCCACUCGCAUGGGUGGGGGUUAAAAGCUCCGGCGGUGAGGGAUGAGCCCGCGGCCUAUCAGCUUGUUGGUGAGGUAACGGCUCACCAAGGCGACGACGGGUAGCCGGCCUGAGAGGGCGACCGGCCACACUGGGACUGAGACACGGCCCAGACUCCUACGGGAGGCAGCAGUGGGGAAUAUUGCACAAUGGGCGAAAGCCUGAUGCAGCGACGCCGCGUGAGGGAUGACGGCCUUCGGGUUGUAAACCUCUUUCAGCAGGGAAGAAGCGCAAGUGACGGUACCUGCAGAAGAAGCGCCGGCUAACUACGUGCCAGCAGCCGCGGUAAUACGUAGGGCGCGAGCGUUGUCCGGAAUUAUUGGGCGUAAAGAGCUCGUAGGCGGCUUGUCGCGUCGAUUGUGAAAGCCCGGGGCUUAACCCCGGGUCUGCAGUCGAUACGGGCAGGCUAGAGUGUGGUAGGGGAGAUCGGAAUUCCUGGUGUAGCGGUGAAAUGCGCAGAUAUCAGGAGGAACACCGGUGGCGAAGGCGGAUCUCUGGGCCAUUACUGACGCUGAGGAGCGAAAGCGUGGGG
Molecule: ribosomal RNA, 708 nt
Filed under: Streptomyces sp. Sp080513SC-05
Lineage: Bacteria; Bacillati; Actinomycetota; Actinomycetes; Kitasatosporales; Streptomycetaceae
Description: bacterial SSU rRNA
Rfam family: Bacterial small subunit ribosomal RNA
Source: RNAcentral